GUGAAUCAUCAAAUUUUUGAACGCAAAUUGCACUCUCUGGUAUUCCGGAGAGUAUGCCUGUUUGAGGGUCAGUAUAAUCAAAAUCGGAGCGAUGCUUCUUGGGUGAAGCACCGGAGUUUGGGCAAUUUUAACUCUUUAAGAGACUUAAAAUCAACAUUUUUUUUUUGCUCACUCUGAGACGUACAUAAUUUUUUUUAUUUGUCUACCCUGGUGGCAAAACUUUUACUAGAUCGUGAACGACG
This 242-nucleotide unclassified non-coding RNA is filed under the name Rhizophagus clarus. RNAcentral describes it as "partial contains 5.8S ribosomal RNA and internal transcribed spacer 2". The stretch from base 1 to 71 matches the Rfam family "5.8S ribosomal RNA", at positions 84 to 154 of the family's 154-position model. Lineage: Eukaryota; Fungi; Glomeromycota; Glomeromycetes; Glomerales; Glomeraceae. The record is from RNAcentral.